GGGUAUGAGUGAGUAUGACAACUAGAACCAUAACCGGACCUUAAAAUCCUAAGUAUUGAAUCUUUGUAAGAAGAUACAAAGACAAAGACUCAUACGGACUUCGGCUACACUAUCAAUGCUUUGAGAAGCAAGAAGAAGCUUGGUUAGUGUUUUGGAUUCAAAUAUGACUUGAUGUCAUGUGUAUGAGUGAGUAUAAAGACUAUAACC
Molecule: small RNA, 207 nt
Filed under: Arabidopsis thaliana (thale cress)
Lineage: Eukaryota; Viridiplantae; Streptophyta; Magnoliopsida; Brassicales; Brassicaceae
Description: ATSL268410
Source: RNAcentral